This 510-nucleotide ribosomal RNA is filed under the name uncultured bacterium. Its description in RNAcentral is "bacterial SSU rRNA". It matches the Rfam family "Bacterial small subunit ribosomal RNA", at positions 33 to 507 of the family's 1533-position model. The record is from RNAcentral.
ACACGCUGGCGGCGUGCUUAACACAUGCAAGUCGAACGAAAAGAGGGAAAGAGCUUGCUCUUUCCGGAAUUGAGUGGCAAACGGGUGAGUAACACGUAAACAACCUGCCUUCAGGAUGGGGACAACAGACGGAAACGACUGCUAAUACCGAAUAAGUUCCAAGAGCCGCAUGGCCCAUGGAAGAAAAGGUGGCCUCUACCUGUAAGCUAUCGCCUGAAGAGGGGUUUGCGUCUGAUUAGCUGGUUGGAGGGGUAACGGCCCACCAAGGCGACGAUCAGUAGCCGGUCUGAGAGGAUGAACGGCCACACUGGAACUGAGACACGGUCCAGACUCCUACGGGAGGCAGCAGUGGGGAAUCUUCCGCAAUGGGCGAAAGCCUGACGGAGCAACGCCGCGUGAGUGAUGACGGCCUUCGGGUUGUAAAACUCUGUGAUCCGGGACGAAAAGGCAGAGUGCGAAGAACAAACUGCAUUGACGGUACCGGAAAAGCAAGCCACGGCUAACUACGUG